UACGUAGGGCGCAAGCGUUGUCCGGAAUUAUUGGGCGUAAAGAGCUCGUAGGCGGCUUGUCACGUCGGGUGUGAAAGCCCGGGGCUUAACCCCGGGUCUGCAUUCGAUACGGGCUAGCUAGAGUGUGGUAGGGGAGAUCGGAAUUCCUGGUGUAGCGGUGAAAUGCGCAGAUAUCAGGAGGAACACCAAUAGCGAAGGCAGCUCGCUGGGACGUUACUGACACUGAGGCGCGAAAGCGUGGGGAGCGAACAGG
Molecule: ribosomal RNA, 253 nt
Filed under: uncultured bacterium
Lineage: Bacteria
Description: partial 16S ribosomal RNA
Rfam family: Bacterial small subunit ribosomal RNA
Source: RNAcentral